GCAGAGGAACGGUUCCUCCCCUGUGCGUCUCCUUUCUCACACGUCUCGUCCUCCUCUGGCUCUCCCUCUCUCCAACGACGGUGACUACUCCACUCUCCUCUACGGCGGCGCCGAAGCUCAGGACGGCAACGCGAGCUCAGGCUUCAUAGACGGGACGGCGGUGAUGGCAGCUCUUCCCUCUGACCUCCAUUGCAUCUCCCUCUCGACGCCUCUCCAUCAUCCCUGUUCAACCGGCACCAGGGCGGACUCCACGGAACGGUGGCGACAGGCGGAGCACGAACAGCGACGGCGACGGGAGGCACAGCGACGUCUUCUUCCUCCUGCUCUUGGCUC
RNAcentral lists this long non-coding RNA (333 nucleotides) under Arachis ipaensis. Its description in RNAcentral is "long non-coding RNA (AIPA_LNC001487)". The record is from RNAcentral. Lineage: Eukaryota; Viridiplantae; Streptophyta; Magnoliopsida; Fabales; Fabaceae.